Molecule: ribosomal RNA, 397 nt
Filed under: uncultured soil bacterium
Lineage: Bacteria
Description: bacterial SSU rRNA
Rfam family: Bacterial small subunit ribosomal RNA
Source: RNAcentral
AGAACGAACGCUGGCGGCAUGCCUAAUACAUGCAAGUCGAACGAACACUUCGGUGUUAGUGGCGCACGGGUGCGUAACGCGUGGGAAUCUGCCCUUGGGUUCGGAAUAACAGUUGGAAACGACUGCUAAUACCGGAUGAUAUCGAAAGAUCAAAGAUUUAUCGCCCAGGGAUGAGCCCGCGUAGGAUUAGCUAGUUGGUGAGGUAAAGGCUCACCAAGGCGACGAUCCUUAGCUGGUCUGAGAGGAUGAUCAGCCACACUGGGACUGAGACACGGCCCAGACUCCGUACGGGAGGCAGCAGUAGGGAAUAUUGGACAAGUGGGCGCAAGCCUGACUCCAGCAAUGCCGCGUGAGUGAUGAAGGUCCGUUAGGGUGUAAAGCGUUACUUUACCGAGAU